CACAAUGAUGGAAGCAUCACAAUGAUGAAAGCAUCAUAAUGAUGAAAACACCAUAAUGAUGAAACAUCAUAAUGAUGUUUCUUUGGUGGAAUUGUUUUUCAUUUCCCCUAACACCCUGAAUUGGUUUUCAAUAUAAGACCAUCAUAUGUAGCUCGAAUCACAAAGUUGUCUUCAUGAAAGUUGUUCUUUAAUUCCUUAACUACAACAUAUCCAAAUUUGAGAGCCAUCAGAUCAGUACAACUCGAGAAAUUCAGGUACGACGAGUGAUUGUUCAUCAUUUGUCUGUCAACACGUCAGACCUGUUGUGAGCUUCAAAAACUCCAUUUUCUCUUGCUUAGAUCAACAUACUUUCUUCAUCGAAGUUGUUCCUCAGCUUGUGAACUACAACAUAUCCAAAUUUGAGAUCCCUC
RNAcentral lists this long non-coding RNA (410 nucleotides) under Malus domestica (apple). RNAcentral describes it as "long non-coding RNA (MDOM_LNC013636)". The record is from RNAcentral. Lineage: Eukaryota; Viridiplantae; Streptophyta; Magnoliopsida; Rosales; Rosaceae.